This 382-nucleotide ribosomal RNA is filed under the name uncultured eukaryote. Its description in RNAcentral is "partial 18S ribosomal RNA". It matches the Rfam family "Eukaryotic small subunit ribosomal RNA", at positions 592 to 976 of the family's 1831-position model. The record is from RNAcentral.
CAAUAGCGUAUAUUAAAGUUGUUGCAGUUAAAAAGCUCGUAGUUGGAUUUCUGGUGGGAGCGAUCGGUCUGGCGCUUAGCGCGAGUACUUGCAUCGUCUCCGGCCAUCCUUGGGGAGAGUCUGUCUGGCAUUAGGUUGUCGGGCAGAGGAUCCUCAUCGUUUACUGUGAAAAAUUAGAGUGUUCAAAGCAGGCUUAUGCCGUUGAAUAUAUUAGCAUGGAAUAAUAAGAUAGGACUUUGGUACUAUUCUGUUGGUUUGCGCACCAAAGUAAUGAUUAAUAGGGACAGUUGGGGGUAUUCGUAUUCCGUUGUCAGAGGUGAAAUUCUUGGAUUUACGGAAGACGAACUACUGCGAAAGCAUUUACCAAGGAUGUUUUCAUUAA